UAGAUGGAGAGUUUGAUCCUGGCUCAGGAUGAACGCUAGCGGGAGGCUUAAUACAUGCAAGUCGGACGGUAACAGGUCUUCGGACGCUGACGAGUGGCGAACGGGUGCG
Molecule: ribosomal RNA, 109 nt
Filed under: Chitinophagales bacterium
Lineage: Bacteria; Pseudomonadati; Bacteroidota; Chitinophagia; Chitinophagales
Description: partial 16S ribosomal RNA
Rfam family: Bacterial small subunit ribosomal RNA
Source: RNAcentral